This 776-nucleotide ribosomal RNA is filed under the name uncultured Neocallimastigales. RNAcentral's name for it is "partial large subunit ribosomal RNA". It matches the Rfam family "Eukaryotic large subunit ribosomal RNA", at positions 24 to 645 of the family's 3401-position model. Lineage: Eukaryota; Fungi; Neocallimastigomycota; Neocallimastigomycetes; Neocallimastigales. The record is from RNAcentral.
UAUCUCUGUAGAGUCUGCAUAUCAAUAAGCGGAGGAAAAGAAACUAACUAGGAUUCCCUUAGUAACGGCGAGUGAAGCGGGAAGAGCUCAAAUUUGAAAUCUUCAAGGUUCUACCUUGACGAAUUGUAGUUUAAAGAAGUGUUUUCUGUUGGAGUUUUGGUAAAAGUUCUUUGGAAUAGGACAUCAUAGAGGGUGAGAAUCCCGUAUUUGACCAUUACUUUCAGCUGUGUGAUACACUUUCAAAGAGUCGGAUUGUUUGGGAAUGCAGUCCAAAAUGGGUGGUAAAUUUCAUCUAAAGCUAAAUACUGGCGAGAGACCGAUAGCGAACAAGUACCGUGAGGGAAAGAUGAAAAGAACUUUGAAAAGAGAGUUGAACAGUACGUGAAAUUGUCAAAAGGGAAGCGUUUGACACCAGUGUUGUUUUCUCGAAAAUCAAUUAAAAAAUGAUUGGAUUUUGUGUUGUAUUGACUUUAUCAGCUUUCCUGCACUCUUUUCUUGUCUUUUUUAAUGCACUUUUCGUUUAACAAGUCAACAUCAAUUUCUUUUGUUGUAAAAGAGUCAUUGGAAGGUGGCUUUCUUUUCGGAGAAAGUGUUUAUAGCCUUCGACUUCUGCAGUCGGAGAGAUUGAGGUCUGCAGCGUAGAUCCUUCGGGGUUAGAUGCAUUUGUGCUAAGUUAUAGCCUUUCAUAGACAACUUGUUGACUAUGAUCAGUCAUGUAGCUUACUCGCUUAUGUUAUUUUACCUACGCUUAGGAUGUUGAUCUCUCACAGUCGAGC